GCAGUUAGGAAUCGUCCACAAUGGGCGAAAGCCUGAUGGAGCGACACUGCAGAGGGAUGACCGCCUUCAGCGAGUCAACCUGUGAAGCAGCGGCGGAUAAUGCCGGUAGCCGUUGAGAAGCACCGGCUAACUGCGUGCCAGCAGAAGCGGUAAUACGGAGGGUGCAAGCGUUAUCCGGAAUCACUGGGCGUAAAGGGCGCGUAGGCGGUCCUGUAAGUCACGAUGUUAAAGACCGGGGCUCAACCACCGACACGGUGUUGGAUACUAUUGGGCUUGGAGGCUGGAGAGGCGAGUGGAAUUACACAGUGUAGCGGUGGAAUGCGUAGAUACUGCUAGGAACACCCAUUGCGAAGGCAGCUCUCUGGACAACCCUCCCGCUGAGGCGAAAAUUGUGGGGAGCAAACCGGAUUAGAUACCCGGGUAGUCCUCGCCCUAAACGAUGCACUCUUGGUGUUGGCCCGUUGGGGGGUGCGCCGGAUCUAACGGGUUAAGUCAAUUCAUUGGGAAGUGCGGGUGCAAGGUUGAAA
RNAcentral lists this ribosomal RNA (527 nucleotides) under uncultured bacterium. RNAcentral describes it as "bacterial SSU rRNA". It matches the Rfam family "Bacterial small subunit ribosomal RNA", at positions 351 to 899 of the family's 1533-position model. The record is from RNAcentral.